Molecule: small nuclear RNA, 87 nt
Filed under: Nannospalax galili (Upper Galilee mountains blind mole rat)
Lineage: Eukaryota; Metazoa; Chordata; Mammalia; Rodentia; Spalacidae
Source: RNAcentral
GUGUUGGAACAUAUACUAAAAUCAUAAUAAUACAGCGAAGAUUAGCAUGGCCCCUAUGUAAGAAUUUGCUAACCAUUCCUUAAAUUU